Molecule: ribosomal RNA, 399 nt
Filed under: uncultured bacterium
Lineage: Bacteria
Description: bacterial SSU rRNA
Rfam family: Bacterial small subunit ribosomal RNA
Source: RNAcentral
GACGAACGCUGGCGGCGCGCUUAACACAUGCAAGUCGAGCGAGAACCAGGGCUUCGGCCCUGGGGAAAGCGGCGAACGGGUGAGUAACACGUGAGUAACCUGUCCUCGGCACCGGGAUAGCCCGGGGAAACCCGGAUUAAUACCGGAUGGCCUUUCGAGUCUUCGGGCUCGUCAGAAAAGGGAGCUUCGGCCUCCGGCCGAGGAGGGACUCGCGGCGGAUUAGCUUGUUGGUGGGGUAACGGCUCACCAAGGCGACGACCGUAGCUGGUCUGAGAGGACGAUCAGCCACACUGGGGACUGAGACACGGCCCAGACUCCUACGGGAGGCAGCAGUGGGGAAUCUUGCGCAAUGGGCGAAAGCCUGACGCAGCGACGCCGCGUGCGGGAAGAAGGCCUCGG